Molecule: ribosomal RNA, 269 nt
Filed under: uncultured Lactobacillus sp.
Lineage: Bacteria; Bacillati; Bacillota; Bacilli; Lactobacillales; Lactobacillaceae
Description: partial 16S ribosomal RNA
Rfam family: Bacterial small subunit ribosomal RNA
Source: RNAcentral
GUACCAAGGCGAUGAUGCAUAGCCGAGUUGAGAGACUGAUCGGCCACAUUGGGACGUGAGACACGGCCCAAACUCCCUACGGGAGGCAGCAGUAGGGAAUCUUCCACAAUGGACGCAAGUCUGAUGGAGCAACGCCGCGUGAGUGAAGAAGGUUUUCGGAUCGUAAAGCUCUGUUGUUGGUGAAGAAGGAUAGAGGUAGUAACUGGCCUUUAUUUGACGGUAAUCAACCAGAAAGUCACGGCUAACUACGUGCCAGCAGCCGCGGUAAU